This 253-nucleotide ribosomal RNA is filed under the name uncultured bacterium. RNAcentral describes it as "partial 16S ribosomal RNA". It matches the Rfam family "Bacterial small subunit ribosomal RNA", at positions 524 to 776 of the family's 1533-position model. The record is from RNAcentral.
UACGGGGGGAGCAAGCGUUGUUCGGAUUCAUUGGGCGUAAAGGGUGCGUAGGCGGCGCGGUAAGUCGGGUGUGAAAUCUCGGGGCUUAACUCCGAAACUGCAUUCGAUACUGCCGUGCUUGAGGACUGGAGAGGAGACUGGAAUUUACGGUGUAGCGGUGAAAUGCGUAGAUAUCGUAAGGAAGACCAGUGGCGAAGGCGGGUCUCUGGACAGUUCCUGACGCUGAGGCACGAAGGCCAGGGGAGCAAACGGG